RNAcentral lists this ribosomal RNA (484 nucleotides) under uncultured bacterium. RNAcentral describes it as "partial 16S ribosomal RNA". It matches the Rfam family "Bacterial small subunit ribosomal RNA", at positions 28 to 523 of the family's 1533-position model. The record is from RNAcentral.
GACGAACGCUGGCGGCGUGCUUAACACAUGCAAGUCGAACGAUGAAGCUGGAGCUUGCUCCGGUGGAUUAGUGGCGAACGGGUGAGUAACACGUGAGUAAUCUGCCCUUGACUCUGGGAUAACUGCGGGAAACUGUAGCUAAUACCGGAUACGACACCUUCGGGCAUCCGAUGGGUGUGGAAAGAAUUUCGGUCAAGGAUGAACUCGCGGCCUAUCAGCUAGUUGGUGAGGUAAUGGCUCACCAAGGCGACGACGGGUAGCCGGCCUGAGAGGGUGACCGGCCACACUGGGACUGAGACACGGCCCAGACUCCGACGGGAGGCAGCAGUGGGGAAUAUUGCACAAUGGGCGAAAGCCUGAUGCAGCAACGACGCGUGAGGGAUGAAGGCCUUCGGGUUGUAAACCUCUUUUAGUUGGGAAGAAGCGAAAGUGACGGUACCAACAGAAAAAGCACCGGCUAACUACGUGCCAGCAGCCGCAGUAA